GUGUGCCUACGGGCGCAGCAGUGGGGAAUAUUGCACAAUGGGGGAAACCCUGAUGCAGCGACGCCGCGUGAGUGAAGAAGUAUUUCGGUAUGUAAAGCUCUAUCAGCAGGGAAGAAAAUGACGGUACCUGACUAAGAAGCCCCGGCUAACUACGUGCCAGCGGCCGCGGUAAUACGUAGGGGGCAAGCGUUAUCCGGAUUUACUGGGUGUAAAGGGAGCGUAGACGGUGAUGUAAGUCUGGAGUGAAAGGCGGGGGCCCAACCCCCGGACUGCUCUGGAAACUAUGUGACCGGAGUGCAGGAGAG
Molecule: ribosomal RNA, 305 nt
Filed under: uncultured bacterium
Lineage: Bacteria
Description: bacterial SSU rRNA
Rfam family: Bacterial small subunit ribosomal RNA
Source: RNAcentral